GUGGGGAAUCUUCCGCAAUGGACGAAAGUCUGACGGAGCAACGCCGCGUGAACGAUGACGGCCUUCGGGUUGUAAAGUUCUGUUAUACGGGACGAAUGGUACGACGGCCAAUACCCGUCGUAAGUGACGGUACCGUAAGAGAAAGCCACGGCUAACUACGUGCCAGCAGCCGCGGUAAUACGUAGGUGGCAAGCGUUGUCCGGAAUUAUUGGGCGUAAAGGGCGAGCAGGCGGCGUCGUAAGUCGGUCUUAAAAGUGCGGGGCUUAACCCCGUGAGGGGACCGAAACUGCGAUGCUAGAGUAUCGGAGAGGAAAGCGGAAUUCCUAGUGUAGCGGUGAAAUGCGUAGAUAUUAGGAGGAACACCAGUGGCGAAAGCGGCUUUCUGGACGACAACUGACGCUGAGGCGCGAAAGCCAGGGGAGCAAACGGGAUUAGAUACCCCAGUAGUCC
Molecule: ribosomal RNA, 450 nt
Filed under: uncultured bacterium
Lineage: Bacteria
Description: partial 16S ribosomal RNA
Rfam family: Bacterial small subunit ribosomal RNA
Source: RNAcentral